GAUUGUAGCUCGGUGGCAGAGUGGUUGCCUAGCAUGUGUCAGGCUCUGGGUUCGAUUCUCAGCAGCA
RNAcentral lists this transfer RNA (67 nucleotides) under Marmota monax (woodchuck). RNAcentral describes it as "tRNA.Ala". The record is from RNAcentral. Lineage: Eukaryota; Metazoa; Chordata; Mammalia; Rodentia; Sciuridae.